Molecule: ribosomal RNA, 253 nt
Filed under: uncultured bacterium
Lineage: Bacteria
Description: partial 16S ribosomal RNA
Rfam family: Bacterial small subunit ribosomal RNA
Source: RNAcentral
UACGAAAGGGGCUAGCGUUCUUAGGAAUUACUGGGCGUAAAGCGCACAUAGGCGGCCUUGUAAGUUGGGGGUGAAAUCCCGGAGCUCAACUCCGGAACUGCCUUCAAGACUGCAAAGCUCGAGGACGCGAGAGGUUAGCGGAAUUCCGAGUGUAGAGGUGAAAUUCGUAGAUAUUCGGAAGAACACCAGUGGCGAAGGCGGCUAACUGGCGCGUUUCUGACGCUGAGGUGCGAAAGCGUGGGGAGCAAACAGG